AACGGGUGGUAAUGCCGGAUGCUCCAUCAUAUCGCAUGGUGUUUUGGGAAAGCCUUUGCGGCAUGGGAUGGGGUCGCGUCCUAUCAGCUUGAUGGCGGGGUAACGGCCCACCAUGGCUUCGACGGGUAGCCGGCCUGAGAGGGCGACCGGCCACAUUGGGACUGAGAUACGGCCCAGACUCCUACGGGAGGCAGCAGUGGGGAAUAUUGCACAAUGGGCGCAAGCCUGAUGCAGCGACGCCGCGUGAGGGAUGGAGGCCUUCGGGUUGUAAACCUCUUUUGUUAGGGAGCAAGGCAUUUUGUGUUGAGUGUACCUUUCGAAUAAGCACCGGCUAACUACGUGCCAGCAGCCGCGGUAAUACGUAGGGUGCAAGCGUUAUCCGGAAUUAUUGGGCGUAAAGGGCUCGUAGGCGGUUCGUCGCGUCCGGUGUGAAAGUCCAUCGCUUAACGGUGGAUCCGCGCCGGGUACGGGCGGGCUUGAGUGCGGUAGGGGAGAC
RNAcentral lists this ribosomal RNA (496 nucleotides) under Bifidobacterium breve. RNAcentral describes it as "bacterial SSU rRNA". It matches the Rfam family "Bacterial small subunit ribosomal RNA", at positions 155 to 661 of the family's 1533-position model. The record is from RNAcentral. Lineage: Bacteria; Bacillati; Actinomycetota; Actinomycetes; Bifidobacteriales; Bifidobacteriaceae.